GUUGUUUGUUUCCACGCAACAAAUGCAUUCAUUCAAUAGUGAUGUGGAGUUUUUUCCAAUUGCAAUUCAGAGGCGCAGUCGGUCAGGAAACCGACGUCAUUCAUGCACCUGGUGCACCACCUGCCACUGAUGGCAACGCGCUGACGGCGCCGGAGACGCUUCACAUUCACAAAAACUCGAGGGAUACUUUGUAUGUCGUUUUUGAGCUUUAAUCAGCUUGAUUAUUUGUUUUUUGGUUUAUUUAAAAAGGUUCCCCGGGUCCCAUUUAUUAGCCCAAAGAAAGUACUAAUUUGAAGAUCAAUAAAAGUAUUUUUUUUUUAAUCAGGCCACAGCUGAGCACACAACACGAACAAACAGAAACACACCUGUUCCUCUGCUCACACAGGUAAACUACCGGGUGCAAUGCAACCCUUCACAAAGCACUGUAAAUCUCUUUAGUACUGUAAUAAAUAAAUAGUAGCACAAACAUACAAACGUGGUACUAAAAUUGCAUCAAAACAAAGCCACUGACAGAAAUUAGACAUAUUUUAUAUGCUGAAGCGUUGGCACAGGGAUCUCUUUACAUACGAAAUGCCCACAAGAGAAAGGUAAAUAUUCAAGUGUAAUAGUUUAGCAUUGUAAGCUCAUGGAGAGAAGCCUUUACAGCUUGUAUAUUGCAUACACAGUUCUAUCGCUGAAUUCCCAAAAGUUUCACCUAGGAAAUUAUGAUUGAUUGUCAGGGGACAGGAAUAAGGAUCAUGACAGUCCAGCCAAUAGAAACGCCGCGAAUGGGGCUAAAAUUAAAUAAAUGAAAAUGUUUUCAGAAAGAAAACAUUGUGAGGAGAAUUGUUUCACCGCAACUAUUUUUUGCCCUCACGGGGACAUUUGGGCAUCAAAACGCGCUUUUCCCGCAGUUGGCACAGCUGAAACAUUUGAACUGCAUCUGCGCUUAUUACUCACAACAGGAUAAAGAGAAAUAAACGACGGCAACGCGCCGCAUCAUUCAACCCGGGCGUCUUGUGCAUAAACAGAGACAGUCUGACGGACGAAGGAAGCCGCUGGAGAGACACCGUCUGCUCCUUUGUGGGCGAAGGCGCUUUGUCCUCCAUUAUGGUCAAUUUAAUAAAUAGGAGGGCAGGACACGUGGGGCCUGUGACGGGAGGGACAGAACAGCUGGGAGGGACCAAGCCGAGGACACAGAGAAAUAAAAACGCGCGGCGGUGCCUGGAGCUAAGGUGCAGGACACGUGAAACGACGUCAUUUUCUCUCUUUCCAGGCACUUUACGCUUACAAAAACACCACAAAGCCACCGCUUAAAUAUAAAAAAAUAAUCAUUUUAAAAGGAGAAAACUCUCCAUCCGAUCCUGGCGCUUGACGAAUGUCUUGGUCUGGUUUCCGAGUGCAGGGUUGGCUACUUAAAGAGUCUCAGAGGUACACAAUGGUCUCCUCGCCGGCCUCCUCCCCGCCGCCGCCGCCGUCCGUCUCCAAGGAAACCAGCGCGCUGAGGUCCAGGCGGGGGUCACGGGCACCGGGCAGCGCGGGAGGCGAGUCGGCGCCGCUUGUCGUCGACCAGCUCCCCGCGAUGUAGGCGGCGGCACGGUUAAGAUCUGCGAGAGCGCACAGAAAGAAAAAAAAACAUCAACACGUAUGUGGAAAGAAAGGCGCGCCGGCGCGUAAUCACCAGGCCGGUUUUGUUUAAUGAGCCCCGGCUAAUUGUUUGGUCCUCUUGUCUAAAUCGCCGACUGCGUGCAGAUCAACCACAGCUGCUGCAGCUCCUCCUCCUCCUCCUCCUCCUCCUCCUCCUCCUCCUCUCUUCCACUUAGAGGUGUCACUUUUAUAUUAUCAUCUUGAUCCACGUGAUCCACCGGCGAGGGGUUAACAGCAGGCGGCGAGGAAACGAGGGGGCCGAGGAGGGUGGAGUAGACGUCUUAAGCGCUGAGGCGACGACAAGGACUCGUAACCCUCGAGUUGGCCGGCGCGCGGAAUAUGACACCCUCAGGCUUUACACCCCCCCCC
Long non-coding RNA from Gasterosteus aculeatus aculeatus (three-spined stickleback), 1995 nucleotides. The record is from Ensembl. Lineage: Eukaryota; Metazoa; Chordata; Actinopteri; Perciformes; Gasterosteidae.